AGAGUUUGAUCCUGGCUCAGAACGAACGCUGGCGGCGCGUCUUAAGCAUGCAAGUCGAGCGGCAAGCUAUGUGUUUACACGUAGCCUAGAGCGGCGGACUGGUGAGUAACACGUGGGUGACCUACCUAAAAGUUGGGAAUAGCCGUUAGAAAUAGCGGGUAAUACCGAAUGUGCUUACAGGAAGAAAGUCUUGUAAGGAAAGGAGCUACGGCUUCGCUUUUAGAUGGGCCCGCGCCCCAUUAGCUAGUUGGUGGAGUAAAAGCCUACCAAGGCGAUGAUGGGUAGCCGGCCUGAGAGGGUGAACGGCCACACUGGGACUGAGAUACGGCCCAGACUCCUACGGGAGGCAGCAGCUAAGAAUAUUCCGCAAUGGACGAAAGUCUGACGGAGCGACGCCGCGUGGAUGAUGAAGGCCGGAAGGUUGUAAAAUCCUUUUGUCAACGAAGAAUAAGCGGAGGAGGGAAUGCCUUCGUGAUGACGUUAGUUGACGAAUAAGCCCCGGCUAAUUACGUGCCAGCAGCCGCGGUAACACGUAAGGGGCGAGCGUUGUUCGGAAUUAUUGGGCGUAAAGGGCGCGUAGGCGGUUUUGCCAGCCUGAUGUGAGAGCCUGGGGCUUAACCCUGGAAUUGCAUUGGGAACUGCAAGACUUGAAUCAUGGAAGGGAAAUCAGAAUUCCAGGUGUAGGGGUGAAAUCUGUAGAUAUCUGGAAGAAUACCGGUGGCGAAGGCGGAUUUCUGGCCAAUGAUUGACGCUGAGGCGCGAAAGUGCGGGGAGCAAACAGGAUUAGAUACCCUGGUAGUCCGC
RNAcentral lists this ribosomal RNA (804 nucleotides) under uncultured bacterium. RNAcentral describes it as "bacterial SSU rRNA". It matches the Rfam family "Bacterial small subunit ribosomal RNA", at positions 8 to 798 of the family's 1533-position model. The record is from RNAcentral.